Molecule: long non-coding RNA, 2368 nt
Filed under: Salmo salar (Atlantic salmon)
Lineage: Eukaryota; Metazoa; Chordata; Actinopteri; Salmoniformes; Salmonidae
Description: lncRNA (ENSSSAG00000109188.1)
Source: RNAcentral
GUGAGAACUUUUAAGUCCCAAAAGAGAUACUUUAUCAAUGUAACCAUGAGAGAUGCACUCGAUUGAUGCCCUCUGCCUUAGUUUGAGAAUCUUUUCAAGUUUGGCGUUUACUUGGGAGGGGGGAUUUGUGGUGUGCUAAGCAUAAUUGCACAGUGUAUAAUUAAAGAUAAUAGGGGCAUUAAGACCCCACGUCUUGAUUUUUGAAGAGAAAGGAGAUUUCAUCAAACAGUGGCAUGCAAAUGUUUCGGGGUGCAAAGACCUGAUUGGUUGUCGCAGGCGGGUCUAGAGUACAAAUUUACUUUGUGAGAAAUUAUGUAGUUCAUUCUUUCCCACACAAGACCAUUGCUUCACUUGCUCCUGAUACUAAGACAAAGGAUCAAGAUGAUAUCUGUGGUGCUAUUGAUGUGCAUGCUGGGCUACUCCCUGGCUGCUCCAGCUCCUGAUAGUGGAAGCGAUGAGCAGGUUGCAGCACACGCCAACGAGGCCCUGAGGUGGAUGGAGCUCUACAGAAAGUAUGGUUCCCUCGGACAACAGGCAGCACCAGCUCAGCUCUCAAUGCCCCGCUAUGGCGGCUAUGGCAGCUACUAUCCCUACCCUGGCCAGGCUGCCCCUGCUGCCCCAGCCGUCCCUCUGAACUCUGACGAGGUUGGAGAGGACGCGGCUGCCGCUGAAGCCGAGGCUGAGCCAGCAGUGGACGUUGCAGCUGAGGAACCAGCAGUUGUGGACACCACCUCGCCUGUAGACCCAGCCGCUGCAGCUCCUGUCGACCCGGCCGUGGAGGUGCCUGUCAAUGUUGUUAUACCCGCUGCCGUCGACAUCCCCGCCACCAUUGACGCUGACGUCGUUGUUGUCGAUCCUGCUCUCAUAGCGCCAAACGACACCACCAUGGUGGCUGGGCCCUCAGACUCCGCCCUCCAUGUUAUGUAGGCGCCACGGCAACAGUCGCCAGCUUGCUCCUGUGUCGAGCCAGGAAGACAUUCCCUCCCGUAGUUAUAGUAACAAAAAGGUGGAAACAACAGUGAUGGAAAAGGGGCAGGGUAGGAGCAGAGAAGUCUAUGGUACGGCUACCUGAAUAGGGACAAAAUUAAUUUGGCGAAUAUGUGGGAUCUAUGUGAACCUCCAUGUAUAAAUGAGCCUGUACUGUCAUUGUGCAGUCACAAAAAAUAUGAUGAUUCAGUCUUUUCUCUUUGUGCUUUUCUCAUUCUAUAAAUAAAAAUGCCUGUUGAGAUACUGCACUUGAUGUUCUUUGUUAUCAGCAGAAAAAUUACAAUGUUUUAUGAUGUGAUACUUCACAUUACGUUGGAACAAGAGACAAAAUGUGUACCCCAUUUCAAUUGUCAAGCCACGUCCUCCUUAGAUAAUGUUACUAUCCAGGUCAAAAGUUUCCCGGGAAGCCUCAUCUCCCAUUCAACCAAUGGAAAAAACGAAGUUAUCUUAACAUCAGCAUUGCCGGGCCUCAGCACUUACUAGUAGCCGCCAAUGUGCACCUUCGGAAUGUCAUAAAAAAAAUGUACAGUCUAAUAAAUCAAUUUUAAUAUAAAUCCCAAAUAAAUCCAUUACUUCAUUCAGGCAGGUCUUAAAAAAAGAUUAUCAUACUAAAAUAAUGUAUUUCAAAAGAACAGAAUAGCAUAUUUUGAGUUUAAUGCAUGUAAAUAUGCUUAGUAGGCUAUGGCCUAUGGCUAUGUGCCUUGCCAAUAAAUCAACUACUUAAUUUGUUCAUUUAGCAGACAAGACACACUUGUAUUACCCUGCCCUUAUCACAGUCAGCAUACAGUAGGUCUACAUAUGUUUUAUAGUGAGAAUAUAAUAUGAAUAUAACAGAAUAGUAUAGAAAGGAUAUUUUUCCCAAACAAGAUUUGUUUGGCAAAUGUUGUUUGGCAAAUGUAGGUGUUAGAAACUUUAGAUUCUGCUCAUUCCGAUGCUCUAUAGAAAUCAAAACAUCUGGACUGCAUGCAUUUGAAAAGAUAGUUUGGCCUGGACGUUGAACUUGAGCUUGGUUAACGACACUGCGAUUGGCUCAGCCAGUCAAUUAAAUGCUAGUCAAUUAAAUGCACCAAAUUCUCGGGCGGAGUUUGACAAUGGGUCAAUUAGCACAUAAAGGUUAUCGCUACCUUACUUAAAGUGAUAGUUCACAGAAAAUGCAAGGCAAGGCAACACGAUAAGACAACAAAAAUCGAUUGUUUAGCUUAAAAAGGCUACUUUAAGAUGAUUUGGACUAAAUAUGCUAAUGUCGGGGAUAUUGACUUGUAUUGGUUUUUGGACAAAAAUGCAAAUAUCUUAGCAUUUGCAGACAGUGGCCAGAUAAACGCAAACAAACUAAGUUUGUCUACUUUGCCAAUGAAGUAAUCAUUAAAAUAAUCUGAAUCUG